Molecule: long non-coding RNA, 855 nt
Organism: Leptopilina heterotoma
Lineage: Eukaryota; Metazoa; Arthropoda; Insecta; Hymenoptera; Figitidae
Exons: 3
Source: RefSeq, a predicted model, not a curated record
UCAUCAUUGGUCAUCAGUAAAAUGUAAACAAAUAAUAAUUAAUGGAUUAUUUUAAAGAAAUAAUUUAAAUUGUAAGAUAAAUUAAAAAUUUUGAGAAUGAAUAAAGUGUUAGGUGUGCGUCGAGUAAAACUAAUUUAUUAUUAAUGUAACGUUUUGAAUGAUGUCAAGGCUUCUAUUUGCAAAGACUUUUGUUCUCAACGAGAGACAAAGUUGGAUUCUUGUUUGGUGGACGAUUUAAAGCUUUGCCAUGAAGAUAACAUAUACGGACGUUUAUACGGAAUUUCAAAAUGUAGCGUUGGGAAAUGUUCAUCUUUUACAUUUAUUCGUAUCGAUCGUUGAGCGAUGUCAACUGCAAGAUCUAGUUUGGCAAACAAUGCAAGGGCAUUAAAAAAAAUUUUUAAAAGGAAUCCUUCUUGUCUCUAUUGACGGCGAAUUUAAAUUGGGAUUCUUUAGAGCAAUACUGCUUCUGGCAAUUAAUAUUCGCACACGACUUUCCCAUUGACUAUGCACUUUUAAUUCUACCAAAACUUCAAUUUGAGGAAAAUCAUCAAAAUGAGGAAAAUUAACCGCUGCCCACAAGUUCAUGCCAACAAGGAGAGUUAUCGAAAAGCGCAAGGGAAAGAAAAGCAUUUUACAGACAAUCGACGAGAGACAGAAAUUUAGUCAGUGAAACUGACUGCUGAAAUUUCAGCAGUGAAAUAAGUCAACAUUCUUUGGAUAUUUUUUUUUUGCCUCAUAAACUAUGAAAUAACUACAAAUUCUAAAAUAUUCAAUUUAUUUUAUACCUGACAAUAAUUUCUUCUUUCUUUCAUUGAAUUUUCCACAGGGUGUCUAUUGAUUGGGAAAUUUAUUCAG